Molecule: ribosomal RNA, 447 nt
Filed under: uncultured bacterium
Lineage: Bacteria
Description: bacterial SSU rRNA
Rfam family: Bacterial small subunit ribosomal RNA
Source: RNAcentral
UCGGGAAUUUUGGGCAAUGGGCGAAAGCCUGACCCAGCAACGCCGCGUGAAGGAUGAAGUAUUUCGGUAUGUAAACUUCGAAAGAAUAGGAAGAAUAAAUGACGGUACUAUUUAUAAGGUCCGGCUAACUACGUGCCAGCAGCCGCGGUAAUACAGAGGCCCCAAGCGUUAUCCGGAAUCACUGGGCGUAAAGGGUGCGUAGGUGGCAUUGUUAGUCACACGUUAAACCCUGGGGCUUAACCCCAGAUCUGCGUGUGAUACGGCAAAGCUAGAGGAUGGCAGGGAUGUAUGGAACUCAUGGAGUAGGGGUGAAAUCCGUUGAUAUCAUGGGGAACACCAAAAGCGAAGGCAGUACAUUGGGCCACUCCUGACACUGAAACNCGAAAGCGUAGGUAGCGAAUGGGAUUAGAUACCCAUGUAGUCCCUGAGCGGGCUGGCAAGGCGCAU